CUCUUUGCUCGAACAAAACCUCUCCUCUCAACGUCGCUGCGAGUAUUUCCAGCGCAAAUCCUCCAACCUCUCCUCCUCUUCUCCCUCUCCAUUAUUUCCAUUUCCGAUCUAUCAAUCCCUAUUUUUCUAGGGUUUUCAGUCCCCGAUACUCCAUUUUCCUCCACAGAUUCGUCAUAUAAUAGCCUUCUCGCGGCUUCAGCGGCAAAAAUGCCUCUCAGACUCGAAAUCAAGAGAAAACUCGCUCAAAGAUCAGAAAGAGUGAAAUCUGUGGAUCUGCAUCCGACAGAACCAUGGAUCCUUGCAAGUCUAUAUUCAGGAAGUGUCUGUAUCUGGAACUACCAGUCUCAGACUAUGGCGAAGUCUUUCGAGGUCACUGAAUUACCAGUGCGAUCAGCAAAAUUUAUCGCACGCAAACAGUGGGUUGUGGCCGGAGCAGAUGACAUGUUUAUUCGUGUUUACAAUUAUAAUACAAUGGAUAAGGUCAAAGUGUUUGAAGCACACACAGAUUACAUCAGGUGUGUGGCUGUCCAUCCAACCCUUCCAUACGUGUUGUCAUCGUCAGAUGACAUGCUUAUAAAGCUCUGGGAUUGGGAGAAGGGCUGGAUGUGUACUCAGAUUUUCGAGGGACACUCACACUAUGUGAUGCAAGUCACAUUUAAUCCAAAAGACACCAACACAUUUGCAAGUGCCUCCCUCGAUCGCACCAUAAAGAUAUGGAAUCUUGGUUCCCCAGAUCCAAAUUUUACAUUGGAUGCCCAUUUGAAAGGGGUGAACUGUGUUGAUUACUUUACUGGUGGUGACAGACCAUAUUUAAUCACUGGUUCUGAUGAUCAUACUGCUAAGGUGUGGGACUACCAAACUAAAAGUUGUGUUCAGACACUAGAAGGCCAUACACAUAAUGUUUCUGCUGUUUGUUUCCAUCCUGAACUUCCCAUUAUAAUAACAGGUUCAGAGGAUGGGACUGUUCGUAUAUGGCAUGCAACAACGUAUAGGCUUGAGAACACAUUGAAUUAUGGUCUGGAACGAGUAUGGGCUUUAGGAUAUAUGAAAGGUUCUCGCCGGGUUGUAAUUGGAUAUGAUGAAGGAACAAUUAUGAUAAAAAUUGGCCGAGAAGAGCCAGUAGCCAGUAUGGACAGCAGUGGGAAAAUCAUAUGGGCUAAGCAUAAUGAGAUUCAAACUGUAAACAUCAAGUCUGUAGGAGCAGAUUUUGAGGUUACAGAUGGAGAAAGACUGCCUUUGGCUGUGAAGGAGUUAGGGAGCUGUGAUCUUUACCCUCAAAGCUUAAAACACAACCCAAAUGGGAGGUUUGUUGUGGUUUGUGGGGAUGGAGAAUACAUCAUAUAUACAGCUUUGGCCUGGAGAAAUAGAUCCUUUGGUUCAGCAUUGGAAUUUGUUUGGUCAUCAGAUGGAGAAUAUGCAGUUAGGGAAAGUACAUCAAGGAUUAAGAUUUUCAGCAAGACAUUCCAGGAAAAGAAAAGUAUACGGCCAACAUUUUCUGCUGAGCGUAUUUUCGGGGGAACUUUGUUGGCAAUGUGCUCAAACGACUUUAUUUGUUUUUAUGAUUGGGCUGAAUGCAGGUUGAUUCGCCGAAUUGAUGUUAAUGUCAAAAAUCUUUAUUGGGCUGAUAGUGGUGAUCUGGUCGCAAUUGCCAGCGAUACAUCAUUCUACAUCCUUAAGUACAAUAGAGACAUCGUGUCGUCUUCUUUGGAAAGUGGAAAGCCAGUGGAUGAGCAGGGUGUUGAGGAUGCAUUUGAGCUUCUGCAUGAAACGAAUGAGCGGGUCCGAACUGGAAUAUGGGUUGGGGACUGUUUCAUUUAUAAUAACUCUUCUUGGCGACUUAAUUACUGCGUUGGUGGUGAGGUGACUACGAUGUUUCACUUGGACCGUCCUAUGUAUUUGUUGGGUUAUCUUGCCAGUCAAAGCCGGGUGUAUCUAAUAGACAAGGAGUUCAAUGUUAUGGGUUAUACCUUACUUCUCAGCUUGAUCGAGUAUAAGACUCUUGUGAUGCGUGGAGAUCUGGACCGGGCAAAUGAAGUGUUGCCUUUGAUUCCGAAGGAGCAUCAUAAUAGUGUCGCCCGCUUCUUGGAAUCUCGAGGUAUGCUGGAGGACGCACUGGAAGUAGCUACAGAUCCCAACUAUAGAUUUGAUCUAGCCGUACAGCUUGGGAAACUAGAGGUUGCGAAGGCAAUCGCUGUUGAAGUACAAAGUGAAUCAAAAUGGAAGCAGUUAGGAGAGUUGGCUAUGUCUACUGGAAAGUUAGAAAUGGCCGAGGAAUGCUUAAUGCAUGCCAUGGACUUGAGUGGCCUGUUGCUUCUGUAUUCUGCUCUUGGUGAUUCUGAAGGAAUAUCAAAACUUGCAUCUCUUGCUAAAGAGCAAGGGAAGAAUAACGUUGCCUUCCUUUGCCUAUUCAUGCUAGGUAAAUUGGAGGAGUGUCUCCAACUAUUGGUAGAGAGCAAUCGGAUACCAGAGGCUGCUUUGAUGGCACGAUCUUACCUUCCAAGCAAGGUUUCUGAGAUUGUAGCAAUUUGGAGAAACAACCUCAAUAAGGUUAACCAAAAAGCUGCUGAGUCUUUGGCGGAUCCUGAAGAGUACCCUAAUUUGUUUGAGGACUGGCAAAUUGCUCUUGCCGUUGAGUCUAAUCUUUCACAGAAAAGGGGUUCCUAUCCUCCUGCUGAGGAAUAUUUAAGCUAUGCUGAGAAAGCCAACAUCAAUCUUGUAGAAGCAUUCAAAAGCAUGCAAGUUGAUGAGGAUGAAACACCCCUUGAAAACGGAGAAGCCCAUCAUGAGGUGGUAGAAGCAAAUGGCGAAGAGGGUGAAGAAGAGGCUGUCAAGUUGGAUGCUGAAGAUUCUGCUGAUGGCGCUGUCCUUGUUAAUGGCAAUGAGGCUGAUGAAGAGUGGGGUACGAAUAACGAAGGAACCCCAUCAGCCUAAAAGCAAUUGGUUGGGCAAGUGUAAAAUUCCAAAUUUUGUCUCUGUGCUUGCGCCACGACAUUAGGUGUCACCAAGAUAGCCAAUUCCAGCAGUCAUACAGGUCCCAGCCCAUUGGCAGCCCUGAACUGUACUCAGAGGUGGACACACAAAACAAUCUUCUUUGAUGCCGACCAUUCUGCAGGGGGAUGGGAUUAGAAGAAUCUUCCCACUGAAUUGCAUGCUUUCCCACUUUAGGUUGAUGAGGGAGGACUGAAAGGCGGUGAGAAACCCUGGUUACCCAUGGAUCUUUGCAGGUGGGGGUUUUUGAUCAGGUUGAUGAGGGAGGAGUGAUAGCUCUACUCCAACAUGAACGAUCCCUUUCCUUGAUUUUGGCGUAUAUGCUUGGAAGCUUAUUCUUUCUGUGUACACCAUUAGAACAAUUUGAUUUGGCUAGGGAACACACCGAUCCGUUGGCUAUAUCUCUCUUCUUUUCUUUUC
Magnolia sinica is the source of this 3408-nucleotide RNA transcript. It is a transcript of the gene named coatomer subunit beta'-1-like, with no coding region annotated. The record is from RefSeq and is a predicted model, not a curated record. The transcript has 27 exons. Lineage: Eukaryota; Viridiplantae; Streptophyta; Magnoliopsida; Magnoliales; Magnoliaceae.